This 757-nucleotide long non-coding RNA is filed under the name Capsicum annuum. RNAcentral's name for it is "long non-coding RNA (CANN_LNC010507)". The record is from RNAcentral. Lineage: Eukaryota; Viridiplantae; Streptophyta; Magnoliopsida; Solanales; Solanaceae.
AAGGUUCUUACUACCACAGUACCAUUAAAGUAUCCAGAUUCAUGACAAAUUUAAGGCUAAGGCUACACCUCCUGCAAGUUGGGCUAUUCAGCAAAGAUAUUGUACGUAACCUUUUUUUUCAAGUAUAAUGUAAACUUUGUGCAGUUAAAUCAUAUAUAUAAAACAAAAUGAGCAGAGUACUUAAAAACAAAUUAAAUAGAAUUACAAGCUAGCAAAUUUAUAUUUUCUACCUGCACUAAAGUAAAUACAUGGGUGUUUUUUUUGCUAUACUUUUGGCUAUAGAUGAAAGAUUUAAAACAGAAAUCUAAACCUUUAUGGUGAAUUACGCGCAGAAGCUGAGGGAAGUAUCUGUGCAGACGCAGAAUGGUGCAUUGGUCAUUAAAACAACAACAAAAAAAGAAAACAAUUUGGUGCCCAAAGCAUCUCUGAGGUGUAAUGCAGACAAUCUACUUGCUACUUUCAGGACUCGACCUACAAUUUUAUUGUUGCUCCAAGAACGUUUGGGGAAAGGCCGCUGUGACGUAGAAUGUAGAACAUUCAUCGUUGCUCUAAUACUGGUAAUUGUUGAAAGAAAUAAAAGAUUCAUCUCUUUCUUCAUUGAACACUGUUGAAAUUUGAUGAAGGUUUCAUUAAAGAAUCUUGAUCAGAAGCACCAUUACUAAGAACUUUUCUUCUCUCAGAUUCUUCAAGUAAUCUCCUUAUAAGUUUCUCUUCAGCAUCCCUCAAGAACUUGAAUUUUGAUGGUGGUGAAGUUUUC